RNAcentral lists this transfer RNA (68 nucleotides) under Isodiametra pulchra. RNAcentral's name for it is "tRNA-Leu". Lineage: Eukaryota; Metazoa; Xenacoelomorpha; Acoela; Isodiametridae. The record is from RNAcentral.
UAUGAUGUAGUAUAAAUCUGUAAAUUACAUAGAACCUAAGAUUCUGUAAUGGGACACACCCAUCAUAA